This 422-nucleotide ribosomal RNA is filed under the name uncultured bacterium. RNAcentral describes it as "bacterial SSU rRNA". It matches the Rfam family "Bacterial small subunit ribosomal RNA", at positions 360 to 773 of the family's 1533-position model. The record is from RNAcentral.
AAUUUUGGACAAUGGACGCAAGUCUGAUCCAGCCAUGCCGCGUGCGGGAUGAAGGCCUUCGGGUUGUAAAGCUCUGUGGGGAGGGACGAAAAAGGUGGGCAAUAAUAAGGCUCGCCCUUGACGGUACCUCCUUAGCAAGCACCGGCUAACUCUGUGCCAGCAGCCGCGGUAAGACAGAGGGUGCGAACGUUGCUCGGAAUUACUGGGCGUAAAGCGCGUGUAGGCGGGUGAUCAAGUCGGGUGUGAAAUCCCCAGGCUCAACCUGGGAACUGCAUUCGAAACUGGUUGCCUUGAGUGUUGGAGAGGGAAGCGGAAUUCCUGGUGUAGAGGUGAAAUUCGUAGAUAUCAGGAGGAACACCGGUGGCGAAGGCGGCUUCCUGGACAAUUACUGACGCUGAGACGCGAAAGCGUGGGGAGCAAAC